GACGAACGCUGGCGGCGUGCUUAACACAUGCAAGUCGAACGGAAAGGCCCUUCGGGGUACUCGAGUGGCGAACGGGUGAGUAACACGUGGGUGAUCUGCCCUGCACUUUGGGAUAAGCCUGGGAAACUGGGUCUAAUACCGAAUAGGACCACGCGCUUCAUGGUGUGUGGUGGCAAGCUUUUGCGGUGUGGGAUGGGCCCGCGGCCUAUCAGCUUGUUGGUGGGGUAAUGGCCUACCAAGGCGACGACGGGUAGCCGGCCUGAGAGGGUGACCGGCCACACUGGGACUGAGAGACGGCCCAGACUCCUACGGGAGGCAGAAGUGGGGAAUAUUGCACAAUGGGCGCAAGCCUGAUGCAGCGACGCCGCGUGAGGGAUGACGGCCUUCGGGUUGUAAACCUCUUUCAAUAGGGACGAAGCGCAAGUGACGGUACCUAUAGAAGAAGCACCGGCCAACUACGUG
Molecule: ribosomal RNA, 462 nt
Filed under: uncultured bacterium
Lineage: Bacteria
Description: partial 16S ribosomal RNA
Rfam family: Bacterial small subunit ribosomal RNA
Source: RNAcentral